This 680-nucleotide ribosomal RNA is filed under the name uncultured bacterium. RNAcentral describes it as "bacterial SSU rRNA". It matches the Rfam family "Bacterial small subunit ribosomal RNA", at positions 140 to 807 of the family's 1533-position model. The record is from RNAcentral.
GGGAUAACACUUGGAAACAGGUGCUAAUACCGCAUAACCAUAGUUACCGCAUGGUAGCUAUGUAAAAGGUGGCCAUGCUACCGCUUUUGGAUGGGCCCGCGGCGCAUUAGCUAGUUGGUGGGGUAAAGGCUUACCAAGGCAAUGAUGCGUAGCCGAACUGAGAGGUUGAUCGGCCACAUUGGGACUGAGACACGGCCCAAACUCCUACGGGAGGCAGCAGUAGGGAAUCUUCCACAAUGGGCGAAAGCCUGAUGGAGCAACGCCGCGUGGGUGAAGAAGGUCUUCGGAUCGUAAAACCCUGUUGUUAGAGAAGAAAGUGCGUGAGAGUAACUGUUCACGUUUCGACGGUAUCUAACCAGAAAGCCACGGCUAACUACGUGCCAGCAGCCGCGGUAAUACGUAGGUGGCAAGCGUUAUCCGGAUUUAUUGGGCGUAAAGGGAACGCAGGCGGUCUUUUAAGUCUGAUGUGAAAGCCUUCGGCUUAACCGGAGUAGUGCAUUGGAAACUGGGAGACUUGAGUGCAGAAGAGGAGAGUGGAACUCCAUGUGUAGCGGUGAAAUGCGUAGAUAUAUGGAAGAACACCAGUGGCGAAAGCGGCUCUCUGGUCUGUAACUGACGCUGAGGUUCGAAAGCGUGAGUAGCAAACAGGAUUAGAUACCCUGGUAGUCCACGCCGUAAAC